GGUGUAGUGUUAUACUGGGUUUCAGGUCUCUGGUUCAUGUUAGGAGGGUAUUAUAGACACAUUACAGACAGACACCGUGUGGUGUAGUGUUAUACUGGGUUUCAGGUCUCUGGUUCAUGUCAGGAGGGUAUUAUAGACACAUUACAGACAGACACCGUGUGGUGUAGUGUUAUACUGGGUUUCAGGUCUCUGGUUCAUGUUAGGAGGGUAUUAUAGACACAUUACAGACAGACACCGUGUGGUGUAGUGUUAUACUGGGUUUCAGGUCUCUGGUUCAUGUUAGGAGGGUAUUAUAGACACAUUACAGACAGACACCGUGUGGUGUAGUGUUAUACUGGGUUUCAGGUCUCUGGUUCAUGUUAGGAGGGUAUUAUAGACACAUUACAGACAGACACCGUGUGGUGUAGUGUUAUACUGGGUUUCAGGUCUCUGGUUCAUGUCAGGAGGGUAUUAUAGACACAUUACAGACAGACACCGUGUGGUGUAGUGUUAUACUGGGUUUCAGGUCUCUGGUUCAUGUUAGGAGGGUAUUAUAGACACAUUACAGACAGACACCGUGUGGUGUAGUGUUAUACUGGGUUUCAGGUCUCUGGUUCAUGUCAGGAGGGUAUUAUAGACACAUUACAGACAGACACCAGAUACUGGGUUUCAGGUCUCUGGUUCAAGUCAGGAGGGUAUUAUAGACA
Oncorhynchus keta (chum salmon) is the source of this 686-nucleotide long non-coding RNA. RefSeq lists it as uncharacterized. The record is from RefSeq and is a predicted model, not a curated record. The transcript is spliced from 4 exons. NCBI's taxonomy places the organism in Eukaryota, Metazoa, Chordata, Actinopteri, Salmoniformes, Salmonidae.